RNAcentral lists this ribosomal RNA (490 nucleotides) under uncultured bacterium. RNAcentral's name for it is "partial 16S ribosomal RNA". It matches the Rfam family "Bacterial small subunit ribosomal RNA", at positions 30 to 507 of the family's 1533-position model. The record is from RNAcentral.
AUUGAACGCUGGCGGCAGGCCUAACACAUGCAAGUCGAACGGUAACAGGAAGCAGCUUGCUGCUUCGCUGACGAGUGGCGGACGGGUGAGUAAUGUCUGGGAAGCUGCCUGAUGGAGGGGGAUAACUACUGGAAACGGUAGCUAAUACCGCAUAAUGUCGCAAGACCAAAGAGGGGGACCUUCGGGCCUCUUGCCAUCGGAUGUGCCCAGAUGGGAUUAGCUUGUUGGUGGGGUAACGGCUCACCAAGGCGACGAUCCCUAGCUGGUCUGAGAGGAUGACCAGCCACACUGGGACUGAGACACGGUCCAGACUCCUACGGGAGGCAGCAGUGGGGAAUAUUGCACAAUGGGCGCAAGCCUGAUGCAGCCAUGCCGCGUGUAUGAAGAAGGACUUCGGGUUGUAGAGUACUUUCAGCGGGGAGGAAGGGAGUCAAGUUAAUACCUUUGCUCAUUGACGUUACCCGCAGAAGAAGCACCGGCUAACUCCGUG